RNAcentral lists this ribosomal RNA (253 nucleotides) under uncultured bacterium. RNAcentral's name for it is "partial 16S ribosomal RNA". It matches the Rfam family "Bacterial small subunit ribosomal RNA", at positions 524 to 776 of the family's 1533-position model. The record is from RNAcentral.
UACGUAGGGCGCAAGCGUUAUCCGGAAUUAUUGGGCGUAAAGAGCUCGUAGGCGGUUUGUCGCGUCUGCCGGGAAAGUCCGGGGCUCAACUCCGGAUCUGCGGUGGGUACGGGCAGACUAGAGUGAUGUAGGGGAGACUGGAAUUCCUGGUGUAGCGGUGAAAUGCGCAGAUAUCAGGAGGAACACCGAAGGCGAAGGCAGGUCUCUGGGCAUUAACUGACGCUGAGGAGCGAAAGCAUGGGGAGCGAACAGG